GCUUAGAAGCAGCCAUCAUUUAAAGAAAGCGUAAUAGCUCACUGGUCGAGUCGGCCUGCGCGGAAGAUGUAACGGGGCUAAACCAUGCACCGAAGCUGCGGCAGCGACGCUGAUGCGUUGUUGGGUAGGGGAGCGUUCUGUAAGCCUGCGAAGGUGUGCUGUGAGGCAUGCUGGAGGUAUCAGAAGUGCGAAUGCUGACAUAAGUAACGAUAAAGCGGGUGAAAAGCCCGCUCGCCGGAAGACCAAGGGUUCCUGUCCAACGUUAAUCGGGGCAGGGU
Molecule: ribosomal RNA, 278 nt
Filed under: Escherichia coli
Lineage: Bacteria; Pseudomonadati; Pseudomonadota; Gammaproteobacteria; Enterobacterales; Enterobacteriaceae
Description: partial 23S ribosomal RNA
Rfam family: Bacterial large subunit ribosomal RNA
Source: RNAcentral